Nematostella vectensis (starlet sea anemone) is the source of this 301-nucleotide long non-coding RNA. RefSeq lists it as uncharacterized. The transcript has 3 exons. NCBI's taxonomy places the organism in Eukaryota, Metazoa, Cnidaria, Anthozoa, Actiniaria, Edwardsiidae. The record is from RefSeq and is a predicted model, not a curated record.
ACGUGGAAGCACCAUGAAAAACAUUCCGAGAUCGCAAGCCGUUUUUAUGCGUUUGUAGAGGAACAAGCAUUGAUAAAAAACGAUGCCUAUCAAGAACUUUCCCAAGCUGAGCGUUGUAUCGAUGAGGGAGCUUCUGCAAAAGCCAAAUUUCCCUGCGAAUUCAGCAGUUGGUGUCAUAGUUAUCCCAAGUUGAAAGGUCAAAAACCUGUGAAGUGUUGUAUCUUCUUGGCGCUCUCAGCGCUCCGGAUUUUAUUAUCCCCAAAAUUUUAUUUCAGAUUCUAGGCAAAGUUUGGCUGGUACU